Molecule: ribosomal RNA, 433 nt
Filed under: uncultured bacterium
Lineage: Bacteria
Description: partial 16S ribosomal RNA
Rfam family: Bacterial small subunit ribosomal RNA
Source: RNAcentral
AACGAACGCUGGCGGCAGGCCUAACACAUGCAAGUCGAGCGAGCAUUUCGGUGCUAGCGGCGGACGGGUGAGUAACGCGUGGGAACGUGCCCUUUUCUGCGGAAUAGUCCUGGGAAACUGGGGGUAAUACCGCAUACGCCCUUUUGGGGAAAGAUUUAUCGGAGAAGGAUCGGCCCGCGUUGGAUUAGGUAGUUGGUGGGGUAAUGGCCCACCAAGCCGACGAUCCAUAGCUGAUUUGAGAGGAUGAUCAGCCACACUGGGACUGAGACACGGCCCAGACUCCUACGGGAGGCAGCAGUGGGGAAUCUUAGACAAUGGGGGCAACCCUGAUCUAGCCAUGCCGCGUGAGUGAUGAAGGCCUUAGGGUUGUAAAGCUCUUUCAGCUGGGAAGAUAAUGACGGUACCAGCAGAAGAAGCCCCGGCUAACUCCGUG